UACGGAGGGGGCUAGCGUUGUUCGGAAUUACUGGGCGUAAAGCGCACGUAGGCGGCUUUGUAAGUUAGAGGUGAAAGCCCGGGGCUCAACUCCGGAAUUGCCUUUAAGACUGCAUCGCUAGAAUUGUGGAGAGGUAAGUGGAAUUCCGAGUGUAGAGGUGAAAUUCGUAGAUAUUCGGAAGAACACCAGUGGCGAAGGCGACUUACUGGACGAUUACUGACGCUGAGACGCGAAAGCGUGGGGAGCGAACAGG
RNAcentral lists this ribosomal RNA (253 nucleotides) under uncultured bacterium. Its description in RNAcentral is "partial 16S ribosomal RNA". It matches the Rfam family "Bacterial small subunit ribosomal RNA", at positions 524 to 776 of the family's 1533-position model. The record is from RNAcentral.